AUAUCAGAUGCAGAUUGUUUAGAAAACACUCUUAUAGAAGUUUUCAAAAAUAUUCAACUAAGAUGGUAAAAUGAUUUUCAAAAUUUAACUGUGUUUCCUAUAUAUACUUUUUUCUUUCUUAAACAAAAAAAACCCGGAAUAAUCAGUGUAGAAUUUUUUAAUUUAAUUUAAUUAAAAACCAAAUACAUAAUAUGUAAUCUUAAAUUUUAUUUAAAAACUAAAAAUAUAUUUAGUAAAAAUUACGUUGUUAACUAUUAUUCUUUUCCAGCAAUGACUAAGAUUUUUUUAUUUUUAAAAUAUCCAUUCAGUGUAUGGAUCAUCAUUUAAAAGCACAAAACAAUUUGUGAGAACAAUUUGUAGAUUGCAGUUGAUUGAAGUUUCAACUCCUUUUGACAUCACUAAAGAUUCGACUUGUAAUCCAAAGUGACUACAUCAUUAUCGUUACAUAAACUACUCUUAAAAAUUAAACUUGUAUAAGAUUUCAGCAGAAUAACUUAAUGAAAUAAAUGACAAAUUCAAAUUUUCACUUUAAGUGAAAAAUCAUUUUAAAAUUCUAGUAUUUACUCAUUUAUUUUGAAUAUGUGAUUGUAAAAGGAUCUAAUUUUCCAUGGUAAAAUUUCAUUACCAAAAUUAAUAAUAUGGAUUUUGGGAUGUAAGCAUCCAAUUUUAUCUCAAAA
Molecule: long non-coding RNA, 677 nt
Filed under: Physcomitrium patens
Lineage: Eukaryota; Viridiplantae; Streptophyta; Bryopsida; Funariales; Funariaceae
Description: long non-coding RNA (PPAT_LNC008542)
Source: RNAcentral